AACGAACGCUGGCGGCGUGCCUAAUACAUGCAAGUCGAACGUGAGAUGUAGCAAUACAUUGAAAGUGGCGAACGGGUGAGUAACACGUAAGUAAUCUACCUUUAAGUUUGGGAUAACCUUGCCAACGCGGGGCUAAUACCGGAUGUGAUCAGCUGAGCGCAUGUUUAGCUGUUUAAAGGAGUAAUCCGCUUAAAGAUGAGCUUGCGGCCCAUUAGUUAGUUGGCGGGGUAAUGGCCCACCAAGACCGCGAUGGGUAGCCGGCCUGAGAGGGUGUACGGCCACAUUGGGACUGAGAUACGGCCCAGACUCCUACGGGAGGCAGCAGUAGGGAAUUUUGCGCAAUGGACGAAAGUCUGACGCAGCAACGCCGCGUGAGGGAUGAAGGUCUUCGGAUUGUAAACCUCUGUUGGAUGGGAAAAAGGUAGCAAUAUUUGAUGGUACCAUUCGAGUAAGCACCGGCUAACUACGUG
RNAcentral lists this ribosomal RNA (470 nucleotides) under uncultured bacterium. RNAcentral's name for it is "bacterial SSU rRNA". It matches the Rfam family "Bacterial small subunit ribosomal RNA", at positions 29 to 507 of the family's 1533-position model. The record is from RNAcentral.